UACGGGGGGGGCAAGCGUUGUUCGGAAUUACUGGGCGUAAAGGGCUCGUAGGUGGCCAACUAAGUCAGACGUGAAAUCCCUCGGCUUAACCGGGGAACUGCGUCCGAUACUGGUUGGCUUGAGUUUGGGAGAGGGAUGCGGAAUUCCAGGUGUAGCGGUGAAAUGCGUAGAUAUCUGGAGGAACACCGGUGGCGAAGGCGGCAUCCUGGACCAAUACUGACGCUGAGGAGCGAAAGCCAGGGGAGCAAACGGG
Molecule: ribosomal RNA, 253 nt
Filed under: uncultured bacterium
Lineage: Bacteria
Description: partial 16S ribosomal RNA
Rfam family: Bacterial small subunit ribosomal RNA
Source: RNAcentral